Molecule: long non-coding RNA, 1210 nt
Filed under: Triticum aestivum (bread wheat)
Lineage: Eukaryota; Viridiplantae; Streptophyta; Magnoliopsida; Poales; Poaceae
Description: long non-coding RNA (TAES_LNC012743)
Source: RNAcentral
UGUAAAGAAAAGUCUUUCCCGUGCCUCCAGGUCCAUCGACAAAGAAUAUACCUCCUCUUUGGCGGUCAAUUGUGGCUAGGAUUUCAUCGUAGGCCUCCUUCUGCUCCUUGUUUAGGUUCUUAUGCAAAGAUGCAUCCUCGGGUUCCACCUCGAUGGAGGUCUCCUCGAUGAUCUCCCUCGGUAUGUCGUCUGUCAUCUCAUGCUGUUCGUCGAUCUCUGGAAGAGAAAACGAUUCUAUGUCUUUUCCCAUUGAGUGCAACAUGUCUUUGAUAUUUUUCAGAACCAUCUGUUCGACUGUGUGCUUGCAUUUGCAAUUUCUGCUGUAGUCCUCUGACAUUGCCUCAAGGUGCUUGUUCCAGAGGCUACGUACGUCGCUGGGUUCGCAAAAAACCAAGAUUGUCGCAAAUAGCCUUCGCAGCGAUGAUGGCAUUCUAAACAACUCCGCUUCUGUCAUGCAGUCGUCCAAUGUGCUAUCUGCCUCAAUGAGCCCUCUUUUUUCUGCAGCUUCACGAAAGGUUGGCAUUACUUGUCCAUCGACUGUUCGUAGGUCUUCGUAGCCGGUGGCGCCUGUCACGUGGUUUAGGAGGACCCGAAGAUAGUAUCGUUCUCCUUCGGCCGGGUGUGCUGCGACGAUCCUGCCAACCUGGAACACAGCGGCUCGCUUCCUUGGUUGCCAAAACUUCCCCUGACUCUGCCACUUAUAAUGUUCCGGAAAAUCUCUGUAUAGUAUGCCUCGUGCUUUCUCAUGUGAGCUGUUUGCUUCAAAGUACGCAAUUAACAUUGAUCUUUCCGUGCCUUCACGGUCGAUAACAUUCUGUAUUUUCUCCAUGGCAUGAUAUGAAACCAUGUGCAUAUUUGGGAGAUGCAGCUGCAGUUGCAAGACUGGUGGGUGCAUUUUGCUUAGUUCGAAGCCAUAUAUUCUCCACAGUGCUUCAGGAGGUGUCACCCACCGGGCGUCUCUGUACUGCUUAAUCGCGUCGAUUUCGACUUCCUCUACUUUGUCAGUUACAGAUACAGAUGCUCGGUCGUGGCCCUUGUAGAUGUACUUGAAGAGAUACUUAACGGCUUUAAUGCUUGAGCAUAUCUCAACAUUUAUGUGGCAGUUGAACAUUCUUAACAGAUAGGGAUUGUAAGGAACCACCCACCUGUUAUCUAAUGUGCAAUUUCGGACCAUUUCAGUCCGUCCGUCGUCGCGCCUCCUAUAUAUUGG